Molecule: long non-coding RNA, 5180 nt
Organism: Mesocricetus auratus (golden hamster)
Lineage: Eukaryota; Metazoa; Chordata; Mammalia; Rodentia; Cricetidae
Exons: 3
Source: RefSeq, a predicted model, not a curated record
AGUACUGAGAAGGCCAGAAGAAGGUAACAGAUUCUCCUGAAGCUGGAGUUACAGGUGACUGUGAGCCGCCUGACCUGGUACUAGGACCUGAACUAAGGUCUUCUGCAAGAGCAGCAAGCACUCUUAACCACUGAGCCAACUAUCUAGACAGAAUCUCAUGAACUUUGAAGGAGGAAACAUACUCAGAGGUAGUCCAAAUUCAAGCAACAAUACUUAACCCAGUGGUUGCGAAUCAGUCUUAAGUAAAUGAAAGUCAGAAGUCGUGGCUUAAAUGAGAAAGAAAAAAACAAUGGAAAUGUCACUCUUUUACACUAUGCCUUCACAUCUGAGCCAUCAUUUUCAGCUGUGACAAAUAAUGAAAUCAACGUGAGGGAAUGGUUUAGUAUCUGGGGCACAGAUGGCCCUGAAGACACAUAAUGAAUAAAAUAAGUCAUUGACCCCCCCAUCCAGAUUCUAUCCAAUUUCAAGUCUUAGUAAUUCUUUCAACCUCACUGCCUUUAAAAGUUAUUCCUAAAUACAAUAUGCUAAAAACAGCUACUUUUAAAUGAUAAGGCAGAAUGAAAACCAAAAAAAUGUAAUUUUAUAUAUUCAUGCAUGCAUGCAUGUGGGGUGUGUGUGUGCGUGCCUGCCUCUGUUGUUUGAACAACGUGUGAGUUUGUCUAACUGCUAAGGCUGAUAAACAGUGAUCUUGUUAUUCAAAUCACAUACCUCUGAGACCUUGAAAUCCACAUUCAAGUUUUAUUGUAGUCCCUUUAACAAUUCCAUUAUAGUUACUCUGUCUUUAGAGGUUUACAGAGCCUGGAACCUCUAGCACAAGCCAGCUGCCAGCACUGGGCACCAUACCUUCAGGAGGCUGGAGUCCGUGUGCAUGGUCCUUCCUUUCCCUCCUUAUAGAGCCUCUGCUUCAGGCCAGAUCGAAAACCAGCACGGUGGCAGAGUUCCAAACACAAAGCGCCCCAGGGCCAGCACAGGCUCUGCAACAUCCCAGACUAGCCAGGCUCGGCAAAACAUUUUAGUGUCUUGGUCACACCUUGCCCUACCUGUGCAGCGACUGCAGGAAGGUCAAAAUGCUGUGCUUGUAGCUGAAAUGCAACCAUAAGGGGGUGGGGGUCUUCUUAUCCCUUUUCAAAGCUCAAGGUGUAAAUGAGGGUAGGGUGUGGGAGACAUGUGAAUUAGCUUUCCAAUUCUGGGAAGGAGCGAACAGGUAGUCAGUCAUUCAUUAAACUAUACAGGUCCACAUAGGCACACCCUGUCUGCCUUCUGCCCUGCACUGCGUAGUUUCUGGCAACUUGACACAAACUAGAUUCACCCAGGAAGACAGAAUCUCAAUUGAGGCACUGCCUCCAUCAGAUUGGCUGGUUAAAUGUCUAUGGGACAUUUUCGUGACUGCUAUUGAUUGACAGCAAAGGGCCCAGCCCAUGGUGGGUCAUGCCAGCUCUAGGUGGGUGGCCCUAGGCUGUAGAAGAAAGGUGCCUGAACAGGCCUAGAGAAGCAAGUCUCUGUGGCAUUCCUGCCUUGUUUUCCCUCAACGAUGAUCUGUAACCAGGCCUGGAGAAGCAAGUCUCUGUGGCAUUCCUGCCUUGUUUUCCCUCAACGAUGAUCUGUAGCCAGUAAGUCAGAGAAAUUCUUUCCUCCCCAAGAUGCUUUCAAUCAAAGUUUUUUGUAUCCCAGCAACAGAAAGCAGACUAGGACGCACCGGUCCUCUGUCCCUCGGCCACCUUGGAAACUGUCUCCUUGACUAUUGUUCUCGUUCUCUUUAGCUCCCCAACCUUGGCUUGUCUCCCCUCCUUACCCGUGAAUCUCAUGUUCUCUGGUGCCGUGGAGAGGGCAAGAUGCCCAGGUGUGUCUGCCUUCUUGCCAUGGGAUCCCUGCAAUGUGGCCCCACGUGAAAUCUGCUUCUGGCUUCAGAGUGAACCAGUCUCUCUCGUCGUGGAUGGGAACUGCGUCUGCUGUAAAGGAGGAGCCAUGCCCUCUGAGGACUGGAAGAUUCCAACCUAGCACUGGAAGAAGGUUGAAGAAAUUCUCUGCUAGAAACGGAAUCUCUGAAUUCUCCAACUACUGACAGGGUAAUUUUACGCAUGCUUCCAUAAAAGAGCUGAAUGUCAUUAGGCCGCUGAGGAAGAUCACAUGCUGUAAAAGAAUGCACUUUAAAACAUAAACCCUCAUGCGAGCACAGCACAAAACAGCACAGCAGGAAGCAUCUCAAUUAUCACUAUCACUGACUGCUACAGACUCCCACCAUCAGAGCAGAUGAACCAAAUGUGAACAAUCAUCUUUGCUACUCCGUAACCUUUGGCAAGUUGUUAAACCUCUCUGAGCUUUAGUUCCCUCAGCUAAGACCUGGAAUAGCGGUAAUCAUCUAUCUCAGGGACACUGUGAGACUUAAAACAUGAACAUUUUUCAAGAUAUGUAUAGCACAAAGCACAUAUAGUAAGCGAGGAGUUCUUCAGGUUAACUAAAUUUCCAGAGUGACUCUUGGAGGUAGGUAUUAUGAAGUACACAUUUAAAAGGAGGAAUCUAAAACAUUCAAAGGCUAAGGGCAAGUUUCACAGUAAAGCAAAUCUAUGAACCAGUCACUGUUAACAACACUAAGUAUUUCUAGAUUAAUUAAAAUGAGAGGGGGCAUCAUGAACAUCUCUAGAUUAGGCUGCCCAAAUGUAUAUAUGCAAGAGAUUUUAGAGCGUAUUUCAUUCUGUCAUCCUUUAAAAAUUAUAUAUGUCAAAUGGAAAUCGUCAAAUAAUGCAGUAAAUUUGUUUUGUUUUUCUCGAGUCACGAUCUCACAUAGCCAAGGUUGGUCUUGUACCUCUGAUCCUUCUGAGUCCACUCCCAAAUGCCUGCAUUACAUUCAUGUCUCCAAGCCAGAUAGUAAAUUGAAAUUUACAGUAACUAUGCCAUGACUAUAACUUAUGAGAAUAGCUACUUCUUAUUUAUUAAUGGGUUUGCCAAAACAACCAUUCUUUUCUCUGUAUUGCUUUGGAGGCUGUCUGGAACUCGCUCUGUUGACCAGGCUGAUCUCAAAUUCACAGAGAUCCACCUGCCUCUGCCUCCUGAGUGCUGGGAUUAAAUGUGUGUGCCAACACCCAGCCAAAACAGCCCUUCUUAUAACACAUUUCUUGAAUUUCUGGACAAGGAGCUGCCCUGGAACAUCCUUACUUCCCUGGUCCAUCUUUUCUACUUUGUCUCCAUUUCCUGUUCUUCAAGUAGAUUUUGACAGUCAACUCAAUUCUCAGUGACGGGCCCCUCUGUGCCUCUCCCAUUCCUAAACCAUACCAGUGCUCUACUCACAACACACUUUAGCCUUCUCUACACCUGUCUUCUGUAUCUGUCAGUCCUUUAUGGGUAAGGACUACAGUCUAGUGUCCACACAGAUGCAUCUACUCAGCAGGAGAAUGGACUACAGUCUAGUGUCCACACAGAGGCAUCUACUCAGCAGGAGAAUGGACUACAGUCUAGUGUCCACACAGAUGCAUCUACUCAGCAGGAGAAUGGGGACUACAGUCUAGUGUCUACACAGAGGCAUCUACUCAGCAGGAGGAUGGGGACUACAGUCUAGUGUCCACACAGAGGCAUCUACUCAGCAGGAGGAUGGCGACUACAGUCUAGUGUCUACACAGAGGCAUCUACUCAGCAGGAGGAUGGGGACUACAGUCUAGUGUCCACACAGAGGCAUCUACUCAGCAGGAGGAUGGGGACUACAGUCUAGUGUCCACACAGAUGCAUCUACUCAGCAGGAGGAUGGGGACUACAGUCUAGUGUCCACACAGAGGCGUCUACUCAGCAGGAGGAUGGGGACUACAGUCUAGUGUCCACACAGAUGCAUCUACUCAGCAGGAGAAUGGACUACAGCCUUCUGUCCACACAGAGGCAUCUACUCAGCAGGAGGAUGGGGACUACAGUCUAGUGUCCACACAGAGGCAUCUACUCAGCAGGAGGAUGGGGACUACAGUCUAGUGUCCACACAGAGGCAUCUACUCAGCAGGAGGAUGGACUACAGUCUAGUGUCCACACAGAGGCGUCUACUCAGCAGGAGGAUGGCGACUACAGUCUAGUGUCUACACAGAGGCGCCUACUCAGCAGGAGAAUGGGGACUACAGUCUACAGUCUAGUGUCCACACAGAUGCAUCUACUCAGCAGGAGAAUGGACUACAGUCUAGUGUCCACACAGAGGCAUCUACUCAGCAGGAGGAUGGGGACUACAGUCUAGUGUCCACACAGAGGCAUCUACUCAGCAGGAGGAUGGGGACUACAGUCUACAGUCUAGUGUCCACACAGAGGCAUCUACUCAGCAGGAGGAUGGGGACUACAGUCUACAGUCUAGUGUCCACACAGAGGCGUCUACUCAGCAGGAGGAUGGCGACUACAGUCUUGUGUCCACACAGAGGCAUCUACUCAGCAGGAGAAUGGACUACAGUCUAGUGUCCACACAGAGGCAUCUACUCAGCAGGAGGAUGGGGACUACAGUCUAGUGUCCACACAGAGGCAUCUACUCAGCAGGAGGAUGGGGACUACAGUCUAGUGUCCACACAGAGGCGUCUACUCAGCAGGAGGAUGGCGACUACAGUCUUGUGUCUACACAGAGGCAUCUACUCAGCAGGAGGAUGGGGACUACAGUCUAGUGUCCACACAGAGGCGUCUACUCAGCAGGAGGAUGGCGACUACAGUCUUGUGUCCACACAGAGGCGUCUACUCAGCAGGAGAAUGGACUGCAGUCUAGUGUCCACACAGAGGCAUCUACUCAGCAGGAGAAUGGACUAUCGCUACUGGUGGAAUUAUGCCACUGCAAACUCUACAUCUUCACCACAGCUGCAAUGUUACUAUGUAUGUCCACAGCAAAAUGAAGUUCAGCUCUAGCUGGAACUUUCCUCUGAGAAAGGGAUGAUGAUCUAAAGUAGCAAAGAUGGAUCUUAACCUGAAUGCAUAUAUUCAGCUUCCCCUCCCUCCUGUCUUCCUGUUUCCUCUCCCAUCUCCCAUCUACAACCUCAUCGUUUCCGCCGUUCAGAAAGACGCAGGCCUUGGGAGUCAACAAAGCAUGGCAUAUCAACUUGAGGCAGGCAACUUCCUGAAUUUAACAGCAGUAGCAUAGACACUGAGAUUGACAAUUAAUAUAUGGGACCUCCUGAAACUGAAAAACUUCUGUAAGGCAAAGGGCACAGUCAAUAAGACAAAACGGCUCUCCACAG